This 645-nucleotide ribosomal RNA is filed under the name uncultured marine eukaryote. Its description in RNAcentral is "SSU rRNA". It matches the Rfam family "Eukaryotic small subunit ribosomal RNA", at positions 614 to 1260 of the family's 1831-position model. The record is from RNAcentral.
UGUGGUUAAAAAGCUCGUAGUUGGAUCUCAACAGCCUUGAAGCGGUUAACUUUGUAGUUUUACUGCUUUAUAGGCUGUGCUUUUGCUGGAGGUUUAGGGGUGCUCUUGAUCGAGUGUCUCUGGAUGCCAGCAGGUUUACUUUGAAAAAAUUAGAGUGCUCAAAGCAGGCUAAAAUGCCUGAAUAUUCGUGCAUGGAAUAAUAGAAUAGGAUGUCGAUCCUAUUUUGUUGGUUUUCGGGACUCGACAUAAUGAUAAAUAGGGACAGUCGGGGGCAUUUGUAUUCAAACGACAGAGGUGAAAUUCUUGGACCGUUUGAAGACAAACUACUGCGAAAGCAUUUGCCAAGAAUGUUUUCAUUAAUCAAGAACGAAAGUUAGAGGUUCGAAGGCGAUUAGAUACCGCCCUAGUUCUAACCAUAAACGAUGCCAGCUAGCGAUCUGCCUGCGUUUUUACUGUAGACUGGGCAGGAAGCUUCCGGGAAACCAAAGCAUUUGGGUUCCAGGGGAAGUAUGGUUGCAAAGCUGAAACUUAAAGGAAUUGACGGAAGGGCACCACCAGGAGUGGAGCCUGUGGCUUAAUUUGACUCAACACGGGAAAUCUCACCAGGCCCGGACACUGGAAGGAUUGACAGAUUGAUAGCUCUUU